Molecule: non-coding RNA, 441 nt
Organism: Vicia faba (fava bean)
Lineage: Eukaryota; Viridiplantae; Streptophyta; Magnoliopsida; Fabales; Fabaceae
Source: the annotation of a GenBank genome assembly
UCAGAUUCAUGGAUUGUCCAGGAAUAUUGGCGUCCACGAGUAAUAUAUGUGAUAGUUAGCAGUGUCAAAAAUCUGAUCUGCAUUGAUUAUGCGUCAAAUAAGUCUUCUUUUGAAAGACCUCUCGGGUAUUUUGUUAGAGUAUUAGUGGAUUUGGACCAUACCAAAGAGUUCUGUUACAAGAUUUUAGUUGAAAGAGUUGGAUUCUCUUUCUUUGUAGACAUCGAAUAUGAAAAGGUCCCAGAUUUUUGCUCCUUAUGCUCUUGCAUAAGGCAUUAUUUAUCUAAUUGUAAAAGAAAAGAAAACCUUCUGGCGAAAGAGAAGGAUGCGAUACAGAAACAUUACAAACCUGAUAAGCCAUUUCAUGCUCCUGUGGGAAAGAAAAAAACCCAAAAGCAAUUCCUCAAAAUGGUAGAACAUACGAAAUCUUGGAGAACAACUUAA